UACGUAGGUGGCAAGCGUUGUCCGGAAUUAUUGGGCGUAAAGCGCGCGCAGGUGGUUUCUUAAGUCUGAUGUGAAAGCCCACGGCUCAACCGUGGAGGGUCAUUGGAAACUGGGGAACUUGAGUGCAGGAGAGAAGAGUGGAAUUCCACGUGUAGCGGUGAAAUGCGUAGAGAUGGGGAGGAACACCAGUGGCGAAGGCGACUCUUUGGCCUGUAACUGACACUGAGGCGCGAAAGCGUGGGGAGCAAACAGG
Molecule: ribosomal RNA, 253 nt
Filed under: uncultured bacterium
Lineage: Bacteria
Description: partial 16S ribosomal RNA
Rfam family: Bacterial small subunit ribosomal RNA
Source: RNAcentral